This 3497-nucleotide unclassified non-coding RNA is filed under the name Mizuhopecten yessoensis (Yesso scallop). RNAcentral describes it as "uncharacterized LOC110455897, transcript variant X3". Lineage: Eukaryota; Metazoa; Mollusca; Bivalvia; Pectinida; Pectinidae. The record is from RNAcentral.
ACGUGUAUAAAGACAGUUGGCAGCACUCGUUGUAAACCCCGGUUACAUGUAUAUAUAAACUGUGAUUGCCGAAAAUUUCCACUUUGUGUUAGUAGGCCGUUACGACUCCAGUAACAUAAACUUAUUGUCGGACAUCUACAUUAUCAUCAUGAAAGUGUUCCUGAUUUGUCUCCUAUUCGCCGGAGCCAAUGCCGGCUUCCUGGAUUCUUUACAACAAGGUCCGACCAAUGUCAAGGAAGAACUCGCUUCGAAAGUUUCCGCCCACCUCAGCCCUCUAUUAGGCGCGGAAUGGGGCAACUUCUUGGGACACAUAUUUGUCGAAGGUGUCGAAGUCGCUGGAGUUGCAGUUAUCGGAGCCGCUAUUGGAAAGCGAGAAGUUCCACAUAAGGUAACAAUCAAAGACGUGCUUCAUAACGGCGCCAGGGCUUUGGAGCAAAUGUUCGACGACUAUGCCACAGAACUACAGCACUUCCACGAGGAGAUCGCCAGUCUCGCGUAUUUGAAGGGAGAUGUCAACCAGUUCUUUGCCAGCAUGCAGGACUCAAAACUGAUACACGAUAAAGAACUUGACAACAUUGUGUCCAGCGUAAACCAGACAUUGAGAUGUGACAAGAGAAAGAGAAAAGCUAUCGACAACAUUAUCUUCUCCAGGGCGUGCGUACAGUUUAGCUCCGCCGCUAACAAGCUGAAAGAGACGUUUAGUGAUGUUCACAGCCGACUUGUAAAAGGGUCGAAAAAUAUCCUUGGAGCUGUGAAUGAUCAUUUAUCACUUCUGAACGAUACCCUCUCUCACUAAGGACACUGAAAUAGGUCUCCCAGCGCCAUGAUUGGUAAGGACGUAGGACAAACUCAGACAGCCCAGGCACUGGAUACCCUGCUUCACCUCGACUCAGACAGCCCAGGCACUGGAUACCCUGCUUUACCUCGACAAGCUCAGAAAGCCAAGGCACUGGAUACCCUGCUUCACCUCUACUCAGACAGCCCAGGCACUGGAUACCCUGCUUCACCUCUACUCAGACAGCCAAGGCAUUGGAUACCCUGCUUUACCUCGACUCAGACAGUCCAGGCGCUGGAUACCCUGCUUCACCUCUACUCAGACAGCCAAGGUAUUGGAUACCCUGCUUCACCUCGACUCAUACAGCUCAGGCACUGGAUACAAGGCUUCACCUCGACUCAGACAGCCCCGGCGCUGGAUACCCUGCUUCACCUCGACUCAGUCAGCCCAGGCGCUGGAUACCCUGAUUCAGCUACAUAACAUAUGUAUAUAUACCACAUGAGUGUAAUUUAUGCAUCUCUUUUUAUAGAAAACAUGUCAUUAGAUUACUGAAAUAAUGUUUAAAUUCAAACACAUUUCCAAUUUACGAUUUGUGUCCUUCAAAAUUUCAUUAUUUUUUUUUUUACAUUAUUUGAGUACGCCCAUUGCUGAUAAUGACAGGGUAGCACAACCAUGUCCAUCAGCCGACACAGUGAACGGCGUUUCUUGUCCGAGACUUUGCUGUAGGGAAAGUUCUAUUUCCUAUUACCAGCAGUGUGGUAGUAUAAAUAUAUUGAUACUAUACACCAACAUGGUGUCCUGUGUGAACAUUUGUGAUAAUCUCCUGAUUGCCGUGUUUAUUAGUGAUGUUUCACGUCGUGUAAUAUAUUGUUGCUUUAACAAUUUCAAAAUCCCUGAUUGUUUGAACAUUGAUGACAUGUACAGGUAGAUUGUUCCACACAUCUGCCACUCUAAAUGUGAAUGAGUCUUUAACUCCAUGAUGGAUUUUUUUUUUUUGUCAUUUAUAUCAAAGCAUAUAGAUUGGAAGUGACUAUUUUAUCUAAUAGUUUAGUAGCUCUUCGCUGAACAUUCUCUAGUAGUUGUAUGUUUUAAAUGUGAUCUUACCAAAUGUCCUGUACACACUUUUGAACAUGAAGUUGUCUUCAUAUCUCAAUAAACUUUUUAUAAUACCCGUACCGACUUGGUUUUUAUAUUAAAGUUCUGCAUCUGUGUUCUACAGUCUAGCGUAUCAUCCACCGUUGCACCUCAAUGUUUUUCACUGGUAAUGCUUUUUGAUGUAGUUUUCUAGCCGUUCUAGCCCGUGAGAUAAUAACUUCUGUUAUCUAGGAUUGUCGAUAACCAGUUGUCUGUCCAGUUUUGAAGUUGAUGUAAAUCUGAUUGUAGAAUUUUAUAUCAUCUCUGUUACUAAUUAUCCGGUAUAGUUUGGUAUCAUCUGCGAAACGUGGGUAGGGAGAUAAUAUGUUCUCUGGCAUAUAAUUUAUAUACAGCGCCAGAUGAGCACACACUCUAUGAAGAAUUCCACUGAGGACGCCAUGAGACCUUAAUGAGGACCAAUUACCAACACCUUUUGAUGUCUAUUAUUCAGGAAGUCUUCUUUUUAUUUUAUUGUCUUAUGGCCGACUCCAUAUUUAUAUAGCUUUCUUAAAGGCAGCGGUAAGGUACCUUAUGAAAGACUUUCAUAAAGUUUGAAAUGACAUGGAGUUAUCCUCCCUGUAUCUAACAAGCGGGUCAAGUCAUCUAAAACUGUUAGCAUCUGGAGUGUUGUUGAACUUCAAGGCAGAAAUCCAAAGUGUGUAUUGCUAAAUACAUUUGCACAUGCUGCACAAUAGAAUUACGGAUAAUUCUCCAUGGUGUUUACCAUGACACCUUUUGAGGCUCACAUGGCGGUAAUUCCCUGGGUAAGAUUUAGGCCCAUUUCCGUAGGUGGCAGUAAUGUCAGUAAUGUUUGCAUCCCUCUAUGUUUGAGGUAGUUUUCUUUCCUCCAAAGAUUUCUGAAAUAUUAUUGACAUGGGUUUACUUAAAACGUUUUUUCUUGAAUACGUUUGGGUUGAUUUCAUAAGGAUAUGAUGAUUUAUUUCCAUAACAUUUUAUGAGAAGUUUUCUAAUAGUAUCUUGGUUAUGGGGUGCGUCAUGGAAUCGUUGGCGGAUGGUUAUAGCUUCAAACCUUGAUAGCUCUCCUAUUGGUUCUUUAGAAAAGGCACUGUUGAAAAAGUUAGUCAGUACCUCUACUUUAUCUGUAUCGCUGUUAGCGAAUUUGUUAAGUCCCUAUUCAGAGCUUUUAUAUCUGAAAUUCCUGUUCUGACUUUCGCAUUUACAUAAUUCCUCAAGCAUUUAGGUUGGUGUUUAGCAUUCACUUAAAUUUCUUUUUCGUUAUCUUUUUUUGUUUUCUUUUAUUCAAGCAUUAACUUGAAUGACUUUUUUACGUUAAUGAGCCAUAACAUAAAAAGGGGUGUACUCUGAAUGAACCCCGAAACGGUUGAUGAAAAGAGUACACGCCGGACCGAAAGUAGCUGAUAACAUAGAAAAUUAAACCAAUAGAAAUGCUUGUUUUCAACAGACUUAAAUUAUUACCAUAUGGCUUGGUUCCUGCAUCUUGCAUACAUCUUUUAUUUUCUUGUGACAUUUCCCCAUUUAUUGAGUCCAAUUUCUAUGUUUCCUGCUGGUUUUUCACACUUGGUGACAUCUUGAUUUAAAGCUAUACUGUCCUUGUUCUUGUUGCCAA